This 212-nucleotide ribosomal RNA is filed under the name Lepidogryllus sp. MCJ-2002. RNAcentral's name for it is "partial 18S ribosomal RNA". It matches the Rfam family "Eukaryotic small subunit ribosomal RNA", at positions 188 to 387 of the family's 1831-position model. Lineage: Eukaryota; Metazoa; Arthropoda; Insecta; Orthoptera; Gryllidae. The record is from RNAcentral.
CCCGAAAGGGGAAGGACSCUUUUAUUAGAUCAAAGCCAAUCGGCCGGCUCGCCCGGUCGUUCCGUUUUGGUGACUCUGGAUAACCUUGGGCUGAUCGCACGGUCUCCGCACCGGCGACGUGUCCUUCAAAUGUCUGCCUUAUCAACUGACGAUGGUAGGUUUUGCGCCUACCAUGGUUGUAACGGGUGACGGGGAAUCAGGGUUCGAUUCCU